AACUCCUUUUGCCCCCACCACGCAGCUCUCCAUGGAAACCCAUCACUUUCCACCCCGGCCCUUGUCAGCAGAGGAACGAGUAAAUGAGGAGCUGAGCAAAAAGCUUUAGCUGCACAUCUAGCAUCAGCAUGAACUGCAAAAGCGACAGGAGCUACAGAAUACCUACAGAACGUACAACCUUCUCUUGGAUUUUGUUGUCAAGCUUACAUUAACUAAAUGAAAUUACACAAGAAAUGAAUUCUUCAUUGCAUGAAGAAGGUCUGAAAAUUGAAAAUAAUUUGCCAACUUUUCCAAGCUCUCAUGCAUACAUUUUGG
RNAcentral lists this long non-coding RNA (315 nucleotides) under Zonotrichia albicollis (white-throated sparrow). RNAcentral's name for it is "lncRNA (ENSZALG00000000593.1)". The record is from RNAcentral. Lineage: Eukaryota; Metazoa; Chordata; Aves; Passeriformes; Passerellidae.